AUUGAACGCUGGCGGCAUGCUUUACACAUGCAAGUCGAACGGCAGCACGGGCUUCGGCCUGGUGGCGAGUGGCGAACGGGUGAGUAAUAUAUCGGAACGUACCCAGAAGUGGGGGAUAACGUAGCGAAAGUUACGCUAAUACCGCAUACGAUCUAUGGAUGAAAGCAGGGGACCGCAAGGCCUUGUGCUCCUGGAGCGGCCGAUAUCUGAUUAGCUAGUUGGUGAGGUAAAAGCUCACCAAGGCGACGAUCAGUAGCUGGUCUGAGAGGACGACCAGCCACACUGGAACUGAGACACGGUCCAGACUCCCACGGGAGGCAGCAGUGGGGAAUUUUGGACAAUGGGCGCAAGCCUGAUCCAGCAAUGCCGCGUGAGUGAAGAAGGCCUUCGGGUUGUAAAGCUCUUUUGUCAGGGAAGAAACGGUAGAGGCUAAUAUCCUUUGCUAAUGACGGUACCUGAAGAAUAAGCACCGGCUAACUACGUG
Molecule: ribosomal RNA, 484 nt
Filed under: uncultured bacterium
Lineage: Bacteria
Description: partial 16S ribosomal RNA
Rfam family: Bacterial small subunit ribosomal RNA
Source: RNAcentral